AAGAGUUUGAUCAUGGCUCAGAUUGAACGCUGGCGGCAGGCCUAACACAUGCAAGUCGAGCGCGAAAGUCUUCGGAUGAGUAAAGCGGCGAACGGGUGAGUAAUGCAUGGGAAUCUGCCUGGUAGUGGGGGACAACGUCUCGAAAGGGACGCUAAUACCGCAUACGCCCUACGGGGGAAAGGGGGGGAUCUUCGGACCUCUCGCUAUCAGAUGAGCCCAUGUCAGAUUAGCUAGUUGGUGAGGUAAAGGCUCACCAAGGCGACGAUCUGUAACUGGUCUGAGAGGAUGAUCAGUCACACUGGAACUGAGACACGGUCCAGACUCCUACGGGAGGCAGCAGUGGGGAAUAUUGGACAAUGGGGGCAACCCUGAUCCAGCCAUGCCGCGUGUGUGAAGAAGGCCCUAGGGUUGUAAAGCACUUUCAGUGGGGAGAAAGGUUAUUCACCUAAUACGUGAGUAGAUUGAUGUUACCCACAGAAGAAGCACCGGCUAACUCCGUG
Molecule: ribosomal RNA, 500 nt
Filed under: uncultured bacterium
Lineage: Bacteria
Description: bacterial SSU rRNA
Rfam family: Bacterial small subunit ribosomal RNA
Source: RNAcentral